CCUACGGGGGGCAGCAGUAGGGAAUAUUGCUCAAUGGGGGAAACCCUGAAGCAGCAACGCCGCGUGGAGGAUGAAGGUUUUCGGAUUGUAAACUCCUUUUGUUAGAGAAGAUAAUGACGGUAUCUAACGAAUAAGCAACGGCUAACUCCGUGCCAGCAGCCGCGGUAAUACGGAGGGUGCAAGCGUUACUCGGAAUCACUGGGCGUAAAGCGCGCGUAGGCGGGUUAGCAAGUCAGAUGUGAAAUCCUAUGGCUUAACCAUAGAACUGCAUUUGAAACUGUUAUUCUAGAGUAUGGGAGAGGUAGGUGGAAUGCUUGGUGUAGCGGUAAAAUCCAUAGAGAUCAAGAAGAAUACUCAUUGCGAAGGCGACCUGCUAGAACAUAACUGACGCUGAUGCGCGAAAGCGUGGGGAGCAAACAGGAUUAGAUACCCGGGUAGUC
RNAcentral lists this ribosomal RNA (440 nucleotides) under uncultured bacterium. RNAcentral describes it as "partial 16S ribosomal RNA". It matches the Rfam family "Bacterial small subunit ribosomal RNA", at positions 338 to 795 of the family's 1533-position model. The record is from RNAcentral.